UAGGGAAUCUUCGGCAAUGGACGGAAGUCUGACCGAGCAACGCCGCGUGAGUGAAGAAGGUUUUCGGAUCGUAAAGCUCUGUUGUAAGAGAAGAACGAGUGUGAGAGUGGAAAGUUCACACUGUGACGGUAUCUUACCAGAAAGGGACGGCUAACUACGUGCCAGCAGCCGCGGUAAUACGUAGGUCCCGAGCGUUGUCCGGAUUUAUUGGGCGUAAAGCGAGCGCAGGCGGUUAGAUAAGUCUGAAGUUAAAGGCUGUGGCUUAACCAUAGUACGCUUUGGAAACUGUUUAACUUGAGUGGNAANGGAAAAGUGGAAUUCCAUGUGUAGCGGUGAAAUGCGUAAAUAUAUGGAGGAACACCGGUGGGGAAAAGCGGCUCUCUGGCCUGUAACUGACGCUGAGGCUCGAAAGCGUGGGGAGCAAACAGGAUUAAAUACCCUGGUAGUCCACGCCGUAAACGAUGAGUGCUAGGUGUUGGGUCCUUUCCGGGACUCAGUGCCGCAGCUAANNCAUUAAGCACUCCGCCUGGGGAGUACGACCGCAAGGUUG
Molecule: ribosomal RNA, 550 nt
Filed under: uncultured bacterium
Lineage: Bacteria
Description: bacterial SSU rRNA
Rfam family: Bacterial small subunit ribosomal RNA
Source: RNAcentral